Molecule: long non-coding RNA, 2784 nt
Filed under: Betta splendens (Siamese fighting fish)
Lineage: Eukaryota; Metazoa; Chordata; Actinopteri; Anabantiformes; Osphronemidae
Description: lncRNA (ENSBSLG00000024100.1)
Source: RNAcentral
AUGGCGUGGCGAGACCCUGCCCAGCAGCCGCUGAGCCAGGAUGGCACUCUUAGUGCCCUUGAGCUGGGACGAUGUCCCCGGGGACCACCCCGCAUGGCAGCGUCCUCCAGGCGGACGCUGAUCCAGGCGGUUGAGGAGUCGAGGCGGACGACGCCGCAGGAGGCAGCGCCAUCCCAGCAGCAGGAUGCGCCGAGGGCGAGGCCACCAGUCCGGCAGCAAAGGCAGAGACGAGGCAGGAACCAGCGGCGUCCUCCUUGGACCACCGCGACGAGAGACAGGAACCGAAGCAGAUGCGGCCGGAGCCGGACCGCCAGGGACCGAUGCAGAUGCGGCCGGAGCCGGACCGCCAGGAACCGAUGCAGAUGCGGCCGGAGCCGGGCCGCCAGGAACCGAUGCAGAUGCGGCCGGAGCCGGGCCGCCAGGAACCGAUGCAGAUGCGGCCGGAGCCGGGCCGCCAGGAAACCGAUGCAGAUGCGGCCGGAGCCGGGCCCGCCAGGAACCGAUGCAGAUGCGGCCGGAGCCGGGCCGCCAGGAACCGAUGCUGGUGCGGCCGGAGCCGGGACGGAGCGGCCCCCUCCUGGAGGUCGGCAGGAGCUACGACGGGAGCGACCCCCUCCUGGAGGUCGGCAGGAGCUACGACGGGAGCGACCCCCUCCUGGAGGUCGGCAGGAACUACGGACGGGAGCGACCCCCUCCUGGAGGUCGGCAGGAACUACGACGGGAGCGACCCCCUCCUGGAGGUCGGCAGGGAACUACGACGGGAGCGACCCCCUCCUGGAGGUCGGCAGGAACUACGACGGGAGCGACCCCCUCCUGGAGGUCGGCAGGAACUACGACGGGAGCGACCCCCUCCUGGAGGUCGGCAGGAACUACGACGGGAGCGACCCCCUCCUGGAGGUCGGCAGGAACUACGACGGGAGCGACCCCCUCCUGGAGGUCGGCAGGAACUACGACGGGAGCGACCCCCUCCUGGAGGUCGGCAGGAACUACGGCGGGGAGCGACCCCCUCCUGGAGGUCGGCAGGAACUACGACGGGAGCGACCCCCUCCUGGAGGUCGGCAAGAACUACGACGGGCGCGACCCCCUCCUGGGGGUCUGCCGGGACUGCGGCGGGCGCGACCCCCUCCUGGGGGUCUGCCGGGACUGCGGCGGGCGCGACCCCCUCCUGGGGGUCCGCCGGGACUGCGGCGGGCGCGACCUCCUCCUGGAGGUGCGCAGGAACUGCGGCUGGCGCAACCUCCUCCUGGAGGUGCGCAGGAACUGCGGCUGGCGCAACCUCCUCCUGGAGGUGCGCAGGAACUGCGGCUGGCGCAACCUCCUCCUGGAGGUGCGCAGGAACUGCGGCUGGCGCAACCUCCUCCUGGAGGUGCGCAGGAACUGCGGCUGGCGCAACCUCCUCCUGGAGGUGCGCAGGAACUGCGGCUGGCGCGACCUCCUCCUGGAGGUGCGCAGGAACUGCGGCUGGCGCGACCUCCUCCUGGAGGUGCGCAGGAACUGCGGCUGGCGCAACCCUCCUCCUGGAGGUGCGCAGGAACUGCGACUGGCGCGACCUCCUCCUGGAGGUGCGCAGGAACUGCGACUGGCGCGACCUCCUCCUGGAGGUGCGCAGGAACUACGGCUAGCGCGACCUCCUCCUGGGGGCCGGCGGGCGCUGCGGCUCCACGGGUGACGGGGACUGGAACGACUGCUACAGGGCCGACAGGAACGGGGACUGGAACGACCGCUACAGGGCCGACAGGAACGGGGACUGGAACGACCGCUACAGGGCCGACAGGAACGGGGACUGGAACGACCGCUACAGGGUCGACAGGAACGGGGACUGGAACGACCGCUACAGGGUCGACAGGAACGGGGUCAAAGACAGGGGUGACCUCUGCUUGGCCUACGGGAACGCCCUCUACUUGGCCUACGGGAACGCCCUCAACUUGGCCUACGGGAACGCCCUCAACUUGGCCUACGGGAACGCCCUCAACUUGGCCUACGGGAACGCCCUCAACUUGGUCGACAGGGACAGGAACUGGAACGACCUCAACUUGGUCGACAGGGACAGGAACUGGAACGACCUCAACUUGGUCGACAGGGACAGGAACUGGAACGACCUCAACUUGGUCGACAGGGACAGGAACUGGAACGACCUCAACUUGGCCGACAGGGACGGGGACAGGAACGACCUCAACUUGGUCGACAGGAACUGGAACGACCUCAACUUGGUCGACAGGAACUGGAACGACCUCAACAUGGCCGACAGGAACUGGAACGACCUCAACAUGGCCGACAGGAACAGGAACGACCUCAACAUGGCCGACAGGAACUGGAACGACCUCAACAUGGCCGACAGGAACAGGAACGACCUCAACAUGGCCGACAGGAACUGGAACGACCUCAACAUGGCCGACAGGAACUGGAACGACCUCAACAUGGCCGACAGGAACUGGAACGACCUCAACAUGGCCGACAGGCGGAACUGGAACGACCUCAACAUGGCCGACAGGAACUGGAACGACCUCAACAUGGCCGACAGGACAGGAACGACCGCAACAUGGCCGACAGGGACUGGAACGGCCUCUACUUGGCCGACAGGAACUAGAACGGCGUCCUCCUCUGAGGAGCCGACAGGAACUGGAACUAGAACGGCCUCAAUAUGGCCGACGGGAACAGGGACGGCGUCCUCCUCUGAGGAGCCGACAGGAACUAGAACGGCCGCAACAUGGCCGACAGGGACUGGAACGGCCCGCAACAUGGCCGACAGGGACUGGAGCGGCGUCCCCUCCGGAGCUGGCAUGA